Long non-coding RNA from Physella acuta, 400 nucleotides. RefSeq lists it as uncharacterized. The record is from RefSeq and is a predicted model, not a curated record. Lineage: Eukaryota; Metazoa; Mollusca; Gastropoda; Physidae.
AGCUAAGUACUCGAUUACACAGAGAAGCGGACGGUUGGCUGGAGUAUAAAAGCCAAACCUCCGUGAAUUAUUGCGAGAAUUUUCUGUAUAAAAUUAUUUGUGCUACUAGACUAACCAAGCUUGCAAAUUAUUAUUAAAAAUGUCUGGACGUGACGGUGGUAAAAAGAAAGGAGCUGCUCCAAAGGAAACUGAAGCAAAGAACCAGACUGAGGCCCCUGCUGCAAAAGGUGCAGAUAAAGCUGCUGGUGGAAAGAAAGGUGGCAAAAAGUAAGCAAGGGUCCAGUAUGGUCUUCAUCUCAUCCUGUCCAUAGUUUCUUCAAAUGGUCAUGAUCGUUAUUCUGCAAUCCAAUGUUGUAAAAAAUAUUUGCAAUUGAUAUUAAAUGUUUUUAAUGUAGUUUUA